UAACUGGUAUAAUCACCAUCAUCGAAGGGAUUGAAAAGCUGGCGAUCAAACCUUCAGUGCUUUGCAGCUAUAAGUCAAAUAUUCUGAGAUGCAAGGACCCAUUAGUCAGCUCGAACUGUGCGCUUGGUCACAUCCCAGCAGUUACACUGGCUCUUGAACCUCCUCUCUGUCCCCACAGGCUGCCCUGUCUUUGGAUCGGCUACCUAUCAAUCCUUAGAAUACAGCUCCCCUGGACUGAUCCUUGACUUCCUUUCCCAACCCUGCUCCUCACCAAGGCUGGGUUAGGAGCCCACCCUUGGUAACUACAGACUUUCUCAUAACCCCAGUCUUAUCACACUGUGGCCCGAUGGCUUGCUCACUUGCCUGCCUUCUUCCUGCAACACCAGGGCAUAAGCAUCAUAUUCACCUUUGAUUUCCCAGUGCUGAGCACAGCACCAGGCUGACAGUAGUUGAUUAUGAAAUAUUUACGGGUGGGUGUUUUGUGCAUGCCCACCCGCUCCUUGCCAGGCUAAAUGGAGGGGAAACUCCCCAAGUGAAGGCCUGAUUCCUCGACUGGAGAAGAACAAUUGCAGGAAGUGUUAGCUUGGUGAGUGGUAAACACUGGGGUGAGAACAUUUGCCGAGAGCCAGCUUCAACUGGUGAAUUGAUUGGGUUGGAGCAAACAAGAGGUGCCUGCCCAGUGUAUGAACUGGUUCCAGAGAGGAGAGAAGAAUGGGAGGUGUGCCUGAGCUGAGACAAAAGAACACAGGCUUACACAAGAGGCCUCACUGUCCAGUUCCAUGCUUGCUAGUUCCUCCUGUGAUUACAAUUCUGAUAAGGUCUCUGGGUUUGCAAGGCCGCCAUGCAGGCCUUCCCUGAGGAAGUCCGGCUGGCGUGUGGCACACAGGUGGUCCGGAAGACCAGCUCCGGUGAGCUUUUCCCAAGCUGCUGAGGGGCUGGGAGUGCCCACUUCUCAAUCCUGCUUGCCCCUGAUCCAGUUUUAGUUCCAGAGCUCUGUGUCCAGGACGAGGAAUUCCGAAGGGGAAAAGAGGCUGUCCAUCAUCUCCCCUAGUCCUGCUGCUGGCUGGAGCUUGCUGUUGGCUGGAGCUCGCUGUUGGCUGGAGCUCGCGUGUGCCCUCCUGGUUCCACCUCUGAUGCCCAGUGACCUAGGGCUAUCACUUCCCCAAUCAGUGUGUAGUGGGAGGGCCUUUCCACCCACUGGAGCACUGACAGGCUUCUUGGAAAAGUAAAGGCAAUUGGUUAUUACUUAUUCAUCUUCAGCCUGGAAAAACCUGACUCCGUGAAGCUCAGAAUUUCCUGCUGAGGAUCAGAGUCGGUGCAGGUAACAGCAUCAAAGACCUGGGUCACGGGUCACUGGAGAAUGUGGCUCCACCAUUACCUUAGGGAACUUGAACGUGGAAAACAAUAAGGGCGGGAAUCCAGGCCCCCAUCAUGAGGGUGCAGGAGGAGUGGGUGGAGAGGUGAGGGACUCGCAGAUUUCUUCUAUGUAUUUCUCUUUCUGGCAGGCUUCAGUUCGUCCCUUCCCUGAUUCUUAUAGGAAACUUCAUUGUUGAGCCUCCUCUGAGAUUCCAAGCAUUCUGGGGGACACCUGUUCUGUGUACGCUGGAGAACAACAUGCCACCUCUCCCCCGCAAGGAUCACAGAGUCCCUGGGAAGAACGGGAAGGAAGGAAUGUCAGAUGCGUGUGUUGGGGGUUGUGACUAGUUCAGAGCUUGUGGGAGGGGCCCCAGAGCUCAGCGCCCAGCGGGGCAUGUUAGAGGGAGCUUCCUAAAAGAGGCGGUGGUAGGGACAAAUGGGUAUUCUGCAGGUGAGCGAGUGGGAAACAGGUAUUUCCGGCCAAAGAAAGAAAACAUGCACAGAGAGGUAAGAGAACAAGGUCCUUCAAAGGGCUCUAAGUAAUGCUGGAGCUCAGGGGUGGUCCUGGAGGAGUGGCAGGAGAUGAGAGUGGACACCAACCCAGGAAUGCUUAGUUUAGAAGCUAGGCUUCACGACUUGCAAUUCAGGGAAAAGGAGCCGCCACUGAAGUGUUCUAUGCAGAAUGGCCUUAUUGGAAUUGUGAUUUAGAAAGCAUUUAAAAGCAAUAAUAGCAGGAUUAGUUGAUAUUUAUUGAGCACUUAUUAUGCACCAGGCAUAUCUGAGCACUUUUCUUGACAGGAUGCAUUUAGUUUUGGGCGUGAGGUGUAGGUCAGAUGUGACCCAUCAGGCUGACCCCAGCCACUCUGCCCUUGGCCACUACGCUAUGAACACCCCUGCUGCUGUCCUGUCUCAGGAACAAAUGCUACUUCUCCUUGCUUAUCUGUUCCUUGUUGCUUCUCAGUUUGAAGCUGGUCUGCUCCAGCAAUUCUCAGGCACAAACAAGAGGUGUGGCUUUGUGAACAGCCCCAGGUCUCAACUAUUUACAAAUCAGAAAGAGGCACAGAGAACUCCAAGCGGCUGCCUGGGCUUUCGGGGAAGAUUGCUGCGCAGUUCCCUUCCUCCCAGUCCUGGGAACCCACAGAAAUCCCUCUCCUGGCCUUGGCUUCUGGAUCCCAGAAUGCCUCUCCUUUUCUCAAUUUCACUCGAAACCCCUUUUCUCUCUCUCUCACUUGGAGCCAGUUGCUUGGAAUCAAAUUCCUAGGAGCACAUUUAAGAAAAAUCAAACCAGGGUUAAAAGAGGGAGAAUUUAAAAAUAAAAGGGAUUGCUUUCAUUCCUCGAGGGCAAAUCUUGUGCCUUAAGAAAGUCCCAGACUGAACAUAACCCGAGACAUGCCUGUCAAUGUCAAAUGUUUAUUCAAUCAAUCGACGCACAUUUACCGAGCUGCUGUGUGCCAGGAACGGUGCUGGCUAGAUGCAGGGAGAUGUCUAAGUGGCAGAGUCUCCCUUCACGCCUAAUGGAGGGACUCAGCGUCAGUCACGGUACUCUUACAAUGUCGCUGUUCGUGGUCCUCACCUCCCUGCACGCCUCCAUCUCCUCGGCGAUUCUCGCCAAUGUGUCUCUUGACUUUCGGGAAACCCUGAGGCACUCCUUCCCCGAAAUGUUCCCACACUGGACACUCUAGCCCGGAGCGGGGAGAGGGCUCCGGCUGAGCCAGGUGUCACCACGCAUUCCUCCCUCCUCCUUUCCCACGUGACUCACAGGUGACUAGGCACACUCAGGCCUGUUGGGGGUGAAGGGAUUCAGGACAGGUCUCCCCAGGAGGGGCUCUGUUGGCAGGCAAAUUAUUUUGAGCCGAAGGCAAUGGAGACCUGUGGGCUCAGAAGAAGUGUCUGCCCCUCCCUUCACUGCCUCGCAGUAUUUAAACGGAGGGACUUCCCCACAAGAAGGGUUAUUACCAGAGAUAACUUUCAACCACUGAUCUAUAUGGCAGGACAAGCAUAGAAUUACUCACCGUCUGCUCUUCUUACCAUCCUGCAGGAGACUGUGGCCCCUCUGAAGCCUGACCCCAUCCUUGGCUCAGAAUGUCAUGUGGACCUCAUUUUCCCCUUCUGUCUCUGAACCUCUCAUAUAUGUGGGUCUCUCUCUUGUGUAUAUGAGGUCCCCAUACAUAACAUAUGUAAUUAAAUUUGGUUAUUUUUGUCUUAUUAA
Myotis myotis is the source of this 3565-nucleotide long non-coding RNA. RefSeq lists it as uncharacterized. NCBI's taxonomy places the organism in Eukaryota, Metazoa, Chordata, Mammalia, Chiroptera, Vespertilionidae. The record is from RefSeq and is a predicted model, not a curated record. The transcript is spliced from 3 exons.